GGGCGGCGAGGCGGAGGCGCGCGUCGCCGCGCUCGCCGCGCGCGGCGAUAUCGUCGAUCGCAACGGCGCGCCGCUCGCC
Molecule: transfer RNA, 79 nt
Filed under: Sphingomonas sp. RIT328
Lineage: Bacteria; Pseudomonadati; Pseudomonadota; Alphaproteobacteria; Sphingomonadales; Sphingomonadaceae
Description: tRNA-Gly
Source: RNAcentral